UACGUAGGGGCUAGCGUUAUCCGGAAUUACUGGGCGUAAAGGGUGCGUAGGUGGUUUCUUAAGUCAGAGGUUAAAGGCUACGGCUCGACCGUAGUAAGCCUUUGAAACUGGGAAACUUGAGUGCAGGAGAGGAGAGUGGAAUUCCUAGUGUAGCGGUGAAAUGCGUAGAUAUUAGGAGGAACACCAGUUGCGAAGGCGGCUCUCUGGACUGUAACUGACACUGAGGCACGAAAGCGUGGGGAGCAAACAGGAUUAGAUACCCUGGUAGUCCCUGAGCGGG
This 280-nucleotide ribosomal RNA is filed under the name uncultured prokaryote. RNAcentral's name for it is "partial 16S ribosomal RNA". It matches the Rfam family "Bacterial small subunit ribosomal RNA", at positions 524 to 803 of the family's 1533-position model. The record is from RNAcentral.